GGUCCUUUAGCUCAGCGGUUGGAGCGCGCGACUCAUAAUCGCUCGGUCGUUGGUUCAAAUCCAACAAGGACCA
RNAcentral lists this transfer RNA (73 nucleotides) under Cedecea sp. NFIX57. RNAcentral describes it as "tRNA_Met_CAT". It matches the Rfam family "tRNA". From Rfam's summary of the family: Transfer RNA (tRNA) molecules are approximately 80 nucleotides in length. Their secondary structure includes four short double-helical elements and three loops (D, anti-codon, and T loops). Further hydrogen bonds mediate the characteristic L-shaped molecular structure. tRNAs have two regions of fundamental functional importance: the anti-codon, which is responsible for specific mRNA codon recognition, and the 3' end, to which the tRNAs corresponding amino acid is attached (by aminoacyl-tRNA synthetases). tRNAs cope with the degeneracy of the genetic code in two manners: having more than one tRNA (with a specific anti-codon) for a particular amino acid; and 'wobble' base-pairing, i.e. permitting non-standard base-pairing at the 3rd anti-codon position. Lineage: Bacteria; Pseudomonadati; Pseudomonadota; Gammaproteobacteria; Enterobacterales; Enterobacteriaceae. The record is from RNAcentral.